RNAcentral lists this long non-coding RNA (520 nucleotides) under Nicotiana benthamiana. Its description in RNAcentral is "long non-coding RNA (NBEN_LNC019077)". Lineage: Eukaryota; Viridiplantae; Streptophyta; Magnoliopsida; Solanales; Solanaceae. The record is from RNAcentral.
GAACUGUAAGGAUACUCGUAAAAAAUGCGGUUGAGAAACACGACCACCUGAAGUACCAUGUGAGACAUGUAGGGCUGAUUAAAAGGCCCUUGGAGGAUGGACUCUACCAUAAGAAUCUCUACCUCCAAACGAGGUACCACUCAAUCUACCUGCAUGACGGGGCCUCUUAUCAGGCCCAUGACCACCUCCCUCUGCAAGAGCCAUCUCUAUCCUGCUUGCCACAUUAGCCUCCUCUUGAAAAUAUAUCCCACUCCCGGCUCUCAUAGCCAUCUGGAGACGGAUGGGAUGAAUCAACCUAUCGAUAAACCCCCAUACCCUUACUCUCGGUAGGGAGUAUAACAAUAGCAUAGCGAGCUAGAUCAAUGAACCGGGUCACACACUGAGUGACUAACAUAGAGCCCUGCCGAAAGCGCUCCAACUGCCUCCGAAGAGCCUCUCGCUGAGUAACUGGGAGAAACUUUUCCAAAAAUAACUCUACAAACUGGUCCCAUGUCAGAGAUGGCGACCCUGCUAGUCUCGC